Long non-coding RNA from Triticum dicoccoides, 691 nucleotides. RefSeq lists it as uncharacterized. NCBI's taxonomy places the organism in Eukaryota, Viridiplantae, Streptophyta, Magnoliopsida, Poales, Poaceae. The record is from RefSeq and is a predicted model, not a curated record. The transcript has 2 exons.
GUCUUUCCUGAUACUUUGUUUCGUUGAUAGGCUUCACGGCGUUUUUUGAGUUUCUCAUGCCUUUCUUCAUCGGUCAUGCGUUCAUACCGCUCUCUGUCCCUCUUUCUUCUUUUUUCCUUAGCAUCCAUUAUUUGUGAUUAUGGUCCAAAUGUUUUCCUGCAGGAUGGAAAGAAUUUUUUUUAAUGCAAUACAAGAUAAUUUGUUGCUAGACUGGCCUGGAAUGUGAAGUCAAUAUGUAUCGGAUGAGCAUCCUGGCAUGUGAGAUGCAUGAAACAUGGUAUUCUUUUACUGGACAUCAAACAUAGGACUGAUGAGUAUCAAAUACCAUGUGUGAGAUUCAAGAAUUCAUUGGGAAGAACGAAAACUGGAGACAAGGAACAUACUUGACGGCUCCUUUGUUUUGGUUGGCGCUGUAGCUUGGAGAUUGCUUGGCGUGUACUAAGCUGGUGGCACUUUUUUCUCUGGGCGUUCAAUCUCUGAGAGCUGGGUAUUUAUAUUAGUAUAGAACCUUUGCCAGUCCGAGUUGGUGUAUGGUUCCCGAUUGGUUCCAUGUCCGAGUCCAAGUUGGUGUAUGUUUUCCAUGUCCGAGUCCAAGUUGGUGUAUGCUUCUGAUUGUAUUUUUCUCUUCCACGUCCAAUCCAGUAGGUUGUGGUAUGUUUUGAGAUUUGUUAUAAAUUUACCUUUUUCUGUC